GUGGGGAAUAUUGGACAAUGGGCGAAAGCCUGAUCCAGCCAUGCCGCGUGUGUGAAGAAGGUCUUCGGAUUGUAAAGCACUUUAAGUUGGGAGGAAGGGCAGUAAGUUAAUACCUUGCUGUUUUGACGUUACCGACAGAAUAAGCACCGGCUAACUUCGUGCCAGCAGCCGCGGUAAUACGAAGGGUGCAAGCGUUAAUCGGAAUUACUGGGCGUAAAGCGCGCGUAGGUGGUUUUGUAAGUUGGAGGUGAAAUCGCCGGGCUCAACCUGGGAACUGCCUCCAAAACUGCAUGACUAGAGUACGGUAGAGGGUAGUGGAAUUUCCUGUGUAGCGGUGAAAUGCGUAAAUAUAGGAAGGAACACCAGUGGCGAAGGCGACUACCUGGACUGAUACUGACACUGAGGUGCGAAAGCGUGGGGAGCAAACAGGAUUAGAAACCCCAGUAGUCC
Molecule: ribosomal RNA, 450 nt
Filed under: uncultured bacterium
Lineage: Bacteria
Description: partial 16S ribosomal RNA
Rfam family: Bacterial small subunit ribosomal RNA
Source: RNAcentral